This 253-nucleotide ribosomal RNA is filed under the name uncultured prokaryote. RNAcentral's name for it is "partial 16S ribosomal RNA". It matches the Rfam family "Bacterial small subunit ribosomal RNA", at positions 524 to 776 of the family's 1533-position model. The record is from RNAcentral.
UACAGGGGGGGCAAGCGUUGUUCGGAAUUACUGGGCGUAAAGGGCUCGUAGGUGGCCAACUAAGUCAGACGUGAAAUCCCUCAGCUUAACUGGGGAACUGCGUCUGAUACUGGAUGGCUUGAGUUUGGGAGAGGGAUGCGGAAUUCCAGGUGUAGCGGUGAAAUGCGUAGAUAUCGGGAGGAACGCCUGUGGCGAAAGCGGCGCACUGGACCAUUUCUGACGCUGAGGCGCGAAAGCUAGGGGAGCAAACAGG